GCCGGGCGUGGUGGCGGGCGCCUGUAAUCCCAGCUACUGGGAGGCUGAGGCAGGAGAAUGGCGUGAACCCAGGAGGUGGAGCUUGCAGUGAGCCGAGAUCGCGCCACUGCACUCCACCCUGGGCGACAGAGCGAGACUCUGUCUCAA
Molecule: non-coding RNA, 147 nt
Filed under: Gorilla gorilla gorilla (western lowland gorilla)
Lineage: Eukaryota; Metazoa; Chordata; Mammalia; Primates; Hominidae
Source: Rfam by way of RNAcentral